Alnus glutinosa is the source of this 1137-nucleotide long non-coding RNA. RefSeq lists it as uncharacterized. The record is from RefSeq and is a predicted model, not a curated record. NCBI's taxonomy places the organism in Eukaryota, Viridiplantae, Streptophyta, Magnoliopsida, Fagales, Betulaceae. The transcript is spliced from 3 exons.
CUUCCUUAUUUUUCUGUUUUCUAUCGGCUAACAAGUAGCAACCCUCUUCUCUCUUUUCUCUCUUUCUGUUUCUCUCUCAGUUGGCAUAGCAGCAGCAAGAGCACCCCAAAAGAACCCAUCCUCUUCUCUGUAUACUGCAGCAAACCAGAAACAGCAACUCUUUCUACUUCUUUCUCUGCAGAUUUCUCUCUCUUUCCCUCUGUUUCUCUCUUAAUACAGCAACCUAUCUUCUUUCAGCAGAGACUUCAUCUUUCUCUGGUUUUCUUCUUCCAGACAGCAAAGAGCUCUGAUCUCUCUUCCUCUCGCUGGUUCUCUUGGCCAGCAGCUUGAAUCCUCUCUUUCUUUGUAUUUCAUUCGGCCAAACCAGCAAGUAGCUCUCAAGCUACUUUCCCUCUCCAUCUCUGUAACUCUCUCUCGGCUCAGGUGCAGGAAAAGGAUCCUCUCCACCUCUUUUCCCUCUUGGUCUGCAACCGCCCCUCCUUUCUGAAUGCUAUUUCAUAUAUAUCCUCCUUUGUUAGUCUCUUCACCUGCUUCUUUGAGCUUUAGGACCAUAGUUAAUCAGUGCAGGUUGAUCAAGGCCUAGACAGACUCAGUCUUUGACACCAGCACUGUAUGGACAUAACUGGAAAAGACAAGUUGUAAUAUUGAAAUCUAUAGUUGGGUGACCUGUUGCAGAAGUUGAGAGCUAGCUUCCACAAGGGCAAUAUCCUGUAUGUCUGUUUCGUCAGUAUCAGGUUGCUGCUUACUUAUUACUUACUGCUGAGUGUACUCCCGAAUAUUGGUCUGUUCUAAAAACGAAGAGAAGCUUGGAGCACAAUUCUCAAGAUCAGGCUCAGUUCUUCCAGCAAGUAAAGAGUUCAAAGGAUGUGUUUUCUGUGAUUGCCGAGUAUUUUGGUAGAGGAAUCAUAAGCAAAACAAGUAAUGGACCCACGGGUGCUGUUAGAUCAGGCAGCACUUCUUCCAGCAGAGUGUUGUUGCUUGCUUCUUUGUCUCAAUAUUAUGCCAAGGAGUGUCAGGGUUUUAAAAAUAUGUUGUUGUAAUCAAUGGAUGGAGAAACAAAUUAGGAGCAAGAAAAGAGGUAAAUUUGCAAGAUGUGGUACAUCAUUCAAAAGUAAUCCAAACUGGAAUUGAUAUCUU